RNAcentral lists this ribosomal RNA (695 nucleotides) under Clostridium fessum. Its description in RNAcentral is "bacterial SSU rRNA". It matches the Rfam family "Bacterial small subunit ribosomal RNA", at positions 1 to 694 of the family's 1533-position model. The record is from RNAcentral. Lineage: Bacteria; Bacillati; Bacillota; Clostridia; Eubacteriales; Clostridiaceae.
UUUAACAUGAGAGUUUGAUCCUGGCUCAGGAUGAACGCUGGCGGCGUGCUUAACACAUGCAAGUCGAACGAAGCAAUCUAACGGAAGUUUUCGGAUGGAAGCUAGAUUGACUGAGUGGCGGACGGGUGAGUAACGCGUGGGUAACCUGCCUCACACUGGGGGACAACAGUUAGAAAUGACUGCUAAUACCGCAUAAGCGCACAGGACCGCAUGGUCCGGUGUGAAAAACUCCGGUGGUGUGAGAUGGACCCGCGUUUGAUUAGCUAGUUGGUGGGGUAACGGCCUACCAAGGCGACGAUCAAUAGCCGACCUGAGAGGGUGACCGGCCACAUUGGGACUGAGACACGGCCCAAACUCCUACGGGAGGCAGCAGUGGGGAAUAUUGCACAAUGGGGGAAACCCUGAUGCAGCGACGCCGCGUGAGUGAAGAAGUAUUUCGGUAUGUAAAGCUCUAUCAGCAGGGAAGAAAAUGACGGUACCUGACUAAGAAGCCCCGGCUAACUACGUGCCAGCAGCCGCGGUAAUACGUAGGGGGCAAGCGUUAUCCGGAUUUACUGGGUGUAAAGGGAGCGUAGACGGUAAAGCAAGUCUGAAGUGAAAGCCCGGGGCUCAACCCCGGGACUGCUUUGGAAACUGUUUAACUAGAGUGCUGGAGAGGUAAGCGGAAUUCCUAGUGUAGCGGUGAAAUGCGUAGA